GAUGAAGAACGCAGCGAAAUGCGAUAAGUAAUGUGAAUUGCAGAAUUCAGUGAAUCAUCGAAUCUUUGAACGCACAUUGCGCCCCCUGGCAUUCCGGGGGGCAUGCCUGUCCGAGCGUCAUUGCUGCCCUUCAAGCCCGGCUUGUGUGUUGGGUCGUCGUCCCCUCCGGGGGACGGGCCCGAAAGGCAGCGGCGGCACCGCGUCCGGUCCUCGAGCGUAUGGGGCUUUGUCACCCGCUCGAUUAGGGCCGGCCGGGCGCCAGCCGGCGUCUCCAACCUUUUAUUUUACCAGGUUGACCUCGGAUCAGGUAGGGAUACCCGCUGAACUUAAGCAUAUCAAUAAGCGGAGGA
Molecule: unclassified non-coding RNA, 350 nt
Filed under: soil metagenome
Description: partial contains 5.8S ribosomal RNA, internal transcribed spacer 2, and large subunit ribosomal RNA
Rfam family: 5.8S ribosomal RNA (bases 1-120)
Source: RNAcentral